UUCGAACGCACAGCGAAAGGUGCUUGCACCUUUCAAGUGAGUGGCGAACGGGUGAGUAACACGUGGACAACCUGCCUCAAGGCUGGGGAUAACAUUUGGAAACAGAUGCUAAUACCGAAUAAAACUUAGUGUCGCAUGACACAAAGUUAAAAGGCGCUUCGGCGUCACCUAGAGAUGGAUCCGCGGUGCAUUAGUUAGUUGGUGGGGUAAAGGCCUACCAAGACAAUGAUGCAUAGCCGAGUUGAGAGACUGAUCGGCCACAUUGGGACUGAGACACGGCCCAAACUCCUACGGGAGGCUGCAGUAGGGAAUCUUCCACAAUGGGCGAAAGCCUGAUGGAGCAACGCCGCGUGUGUGAUGAAGGCUUUCGGGUCGUAAAGCACUGUUGUAUGGGAAGAACAGCUAGAAUAGGAAAUGAUUUUAGUUUGACGGUACCAUACCAGAAAGGGACGGCUAAAUACGUGCCAGCAGCCGCGGUAAUACGUAUGUCCCGAGCGUUAUCCGGAUUUAUUGGGCGUAAAGCGAGCGCAGACGGUUUAUUAAGUCUGAUGUGAAAGCCCGGAGCUCAACUCCGGAAUGGCAUUGGAAACUGGUUAACUUGAGUGCAGUAGAGGUAGUGGAACUCCAUGUGUAGCGGUGGAAUGCGUAAAUAUAUGGAAGAACRCCAGUGGCGAAGGCGGCUUACUGGACUGCACUGACGUUAAGCUC
RNAcentral lists this ribosomal RNA (708 nucleotides) under Leuconostoc sp. WB86. RNAcentral describes it as "bacterial SSU rRNA". It matches the Rfam family "Bacterial small subunit ribosomal RNA", at positions 61 to 754 of the family's 1533-position model. The record is from RNAcentral. Lineage: Bacteria; Bacillati; Bacillota; Bacilli; Lactobacillales; Lactobacillaceae.